UACCCGUUGCGUUGAACGGUUGUCGCUGUACUGUGAUUGUUGUUCGAGAGAUUUCAACGUUUUGACUAAUUUGCCAAUUAUUCUUAAAAUCGAUACGGAGACGAAUUAAACGAUCAACAAUUCCUAUCUUUAUCGUGGUGGUUUUUGACUUCUCUCCUGCGACGUCACAAUGUAGCGACCUCUGAUUUAUAUUUAUUUUUAUUAAGCUCGGCUAAAGAUGAUCUUACAAGAAUAAAGAUCGAAACGUUCCAUGUAAUUCAUCUUAUUAUUCAUUUAACUACUGCGAUCCUUAGUUCGAAGGCUGGAAGGUCUAACUUAUUUAUUUUUUAAAUCGUUUACGGCCUUUCUUUUCAAAUUUAUAAUUCUAUUAUUUAUACCGGCUGGAACAACAGGAAACAUACAACCAUUAGAUGUAUAUGGUUUUUGUUUGUGGAAAAAUUUCAUUAAACACUUUUCAGAUAUUGUAAUGCUUUUGAAUCUCGAAAUAAAUCUUCACGCAAGAAACAAUAUUUUUAAAUUACAAUCAUUAACUCAUGGUCAGUUUUCAUCGCCUAGAUUUAGAAAUCUAUUUUGAUACGCAUGGCAUAAAAGCGGGUAUGUGGAAAAUAAAUCGGAAGAAUUUGAAACACUAGUAGAAUAUUGUUUCAAAAAUCAGUUAAAAUCGACAUGUGAUAUUUGUGGCUCAACUGCAAUAAUUACUUGCGCAUGGUGCAAAAAAUCGCUUUGCAUAAA
This is a long non-coding RNA of Pseudomyrmex gracilis, 732 nucleotides long. RefSeq lists it as uncharacterized. The record is from RefSeq and is a predicted model, not a curated record. The transcript has 3 exons. Lineage: Eukaryota; Metazoa; Arthropoda; Insecta; Hymenoptera; Formicidae.